CGGCGAGUGAAGUGGGAAGAGCUCAUGUUUGAAAUCCAGCUCCCCGCGGGGCUGGAGUUGUAACCUAGAGGAGCGUGAUCGCCUGCCGGCAGGGCCGCGGCCAAGUCCGAUUUGAAAAGGGUACCGAGGAGGGUGGCAGUCCCGUUCGUGCCGCAGUCCCGCCGGCGAUGUGGCCCGCUUCCAACGAGUCGAGUUGCUUGGGAUUGCAGCUCAAAGUGGGUGGUAAACUCCAUCCAAAGCUAAACACGGGUGGGAGACCGAUAGCGAACAAGUACCGUGAGGGAAAGAUGCAAAGAACUUUGAAAAGAGAGUCAAAGAGUGCCUGAAAUUGCUGAGAGGGAAGCGAAGGAAAGUAGUGUCAGUCGAGGGGACCUCCCACACUUGGGGAGCGACGUUCCGCGGCGUUCCCCAGGUUAUGUCCCCCGCGGUGUCAGGGGCGGGUGCGUUGCCGGAGGCGGCGGCCCAGGGUAUAGGUUCUCCGAGGUAAGAGCCGGAGGAAUGCUGCAACAUGGGAUCCGCGUCUUGGUCGCGGCCGUCCCUGACGAAA
Molecule: ribosomal RNA, 547 nt
Filed under: Lobophora obscura
Lineage: Eukaryota; Phaeophyceae; Dictyotales; Dictyotaceae
Description: partial 26S large subunit ribosomal RNA
Rfam family: Eukaryotic large subunit ribosomal RNA
Source: RNAcentral